GUCCCUUCAGCAGGACAUAUACUAAAAUUGGAAAGAUACAGAGAAGAUUAGCAUGGCCCCUCUGCAAGGAUGACAUGUAAAUUCGUGAACGUUCCAUAUUUUU
This is a small nuclear RNA of Leptonychotes weddellii (Weddell seal), 103 nucleotides long. The record is from RefSeq and is a predicted model, not a curated record. NCBI's taxonomy places the organism in Eukaryota, Metazoa, Chordata, Mammalia, Carnivora, Phocidae.